CUCUGUUCAUUUGAGAUAUAAAAUUAGUAGCACAAAUUGAUUACUUUUUUUAUUUAUUUUAUCUAAAUAGAUAGUCAGCGAUUGUUUACAUGUUCUAUCCUGUACUUCAAGCUUUAUAUUCAUAUUGUACGUGUUGCUUUUGCUUCCCAUAAAACCAUUUCAAAGUUAAGUCCUGGGUCAUCAAAUGCAUCUGGUUCUAGCUCAUCAAAAGAGCAGCAUAAUCAACAAUAUCCAGGUUUUUCCUUUUAUAUACACAUUUUACAAAAUUUUGUUACUUUAUUAUAUUUACUGAACUCAAAAUUUAUCUAUUGCCAAUCCUCAUAUAUAUCCCCCUCCUGGGCGGACCUGGUUUCUUGUGUCAGCAAUGCCUUUAGCCUUUAAACUGAUGCUUGUUUUUUUGCAGUGCCAGAGGUCAAACGCAGAAAGCAACAUCGGACAAAGCAUUUUGAGAACCAAGAACCAUGUCUGAUGAGAGGUGUCUAUUUUAAGAAUAUGAAAUGGCAGGCAGCCAUAAAAGUUGACAAGAAACAAAUUCACUUGGGCACUGUUGGAUCUCAAGAAGCUGCUGCUCGUUUGUAUGACAGUAGAGAAUUGUAUUUGCGUGCUGCUGGGAUUUUUGUUGAUGUGAAUUCUCUGUUUUAAGAUAUGGAUAGGGGAGAACUACAGUACGCUCUGGACAUUGGAUGUUUGCUGGACACACCAUUAGAUGCGUCCCAAUUAGGAAGUCUUCUAUGCCUUAAAUUAGCUUGAUCAAGUGAUUUCUGAGUAUGGAAGAAAUCAUCAAUUGUGGAAGAAUCAUCAAAACUUGUGUGAAUAAUGGUUUUAACAUAUAAAAGAACAACUAGAAGUAGAUUUUAAUUAUCUUUUAUUUGUUUGGCCUCAA
This is a non-coding RNA of Camellia sinensis, 883 nucleotides long. Lineage: Eukaryota; Viridiplantae; Streptophyta; Magnoliopsida; Ericales; Theaceae. The record is from RefSeq and is a predicted model, not a curated record.